GUAGUCCACGCUGUAAACGAUGAAUACUAGGUGUGGGGGGUCUGACCCCUUCCGUGCCGCAGCUAACGCAAUAAGUAUUCCACCUGGGGAGUACGGCCGCAAGGCUGAAACUCAAAGGAAUUGACGGGGGCCCGCACAAGCAGUGGAUUAUGUGGUUUAAUUCGAAGCAACGCGAAGAACCUUACCAGGUCUUGACAUCCCUUGAAUAACCUAGAGAUAGGUGAAGCCCUUCGGGGCAAGGAGACAGGUGGUGCAUGGUUGUCGUCAGCUCGUGUCGUGAGAUGUUGGGUUAAGUCCCGCAACGAGCGCAACCCUUACGGUUAGUUGCUACGAAAGAGCACUCUAACAGGACUGCCGUUGACAAAACGGA
Molecule: ribosomal RNA, 370 nt
Filed under: uncultured bacterium
Lineage: Bacteria
Description: bacterial SSU rRNA
Rfam family: Bacterial small subunit ribosomal RNA
Source: RNAcentral